This 644-nucleotide long non-coding RNA is filed under the name Calidris pugnax (ruff). Its description in RNAcentral is "lncRNA (ENSCPUG00000002206.1)". Lineage: Eukaryota; Metazoa; Chordata; Aves; Charadriiformes; Scolopacidae. The record is from RNAcentral.
GGGGGGGGUUGGGGUGACGUAGAGAAACCCCCCCCCAAAAAAAUCGGGGGGGGAGGGGUCCUGGAGCUGGUGUCCUCAAGGUCCCCGAGGUCCUCAGGGUGGUGACACCAAGGGCCUGGAGCUCAUGACCCUGGUGGCCCCAAAACGACGUCUCCUGGGGGUCCCCAACCUGGAGGAACCCAAGACGGUGGAUUCCAAGGUCCCCAAGACCAUGUCCCCGAGGUCCCCGAGGUGGUGACACCAAGGUCCUGGAGCUCAUCAUGUCCCUGGUGUCCCCAGGGUGGUGGCCUCAGGGGUCCCCAAGCUGGAGGACCCCAAGGUCCCCAAGGUGGAGGACCCCAAGGUCCCCAAGACCAUGGACUCCAAGGUCCCAGAGCUCUUGUCCCCAAGGUCCCCAAGGUGGUGGCCUCGGGGGUCCCCAAGCUGGUGGACCCCAAGGUCCCCAAGGUGGUGGCCUCAGGGGUCCUCAAGCUGGUGGACCCCAAAGUUCUUGUCCCCGAUGUCCCCGAGGUGGCAUCUCCUGGGGGUCCCCAACCUGGAGGCCCCCAAGGUGGGGGAGGACCCCAAGGUCCUGGAGCCCCCAAGGUCCCCCCGAGGUCCCUGGUGUGGGGGGUGGGGCCUCGGGGGGGUCCCGGAGCUGGUGG